This 579-nucleotide ribosomal RNA is filed under the name uncultured bacterium. Its description in RNAcentral is "bacterial SSU rRNA". It matches the Rfam family "Bacterial small subunit ribosomal RNA", at positions 102 to 681 of the family's 1533-position model. The record is from RNAcentral.
ACGGGUGAGGAACACGUAGGAACCUGCCCUUGAGCGGGGGAUAACCAAGGGAAACUUUGGCUAAUACCGCAUAAACUCGAGAGAGAAGAGAUGCCCGCAAGGGUGUCACUUGAGGAGGGGCCUGCGUCCGAUUAGCUAGUUGGUAGGGUAAGAGCCUACCAAGGCGAUGAUCGGUAACUGGUCUGAGAGGACGACCAGUCACACUGGGACUGAGACACGGCCCAGACUCCUACGGGAGGCAGCAGUGGGGAAUAUUGGACAAUGGGGGCAACCCUGAUCCAGCGAUGCCGCGUGAGUGAAGAAGGCCUUCGGGUCGUAAAGCUCUUUAGGUUGGGAAGAAGUUCAUUCGGUGAAUAGCCGAGUGGAUUGACGGUACCGACAGAAUAAGCACCGGCAAACUCUGUGCCAGCAGCCGCGGUAAUACAGAGGGUGCGAGCGUUAAUCGGAAUUACUGGGUGUAAAGGGCGCGUAGGCGGUAGUAUGUGUGUGAUGUGAAAGCCCCGGGCUUAACCUGGGAAGUGCAUCGCAAACUAUAUAACUAGAGUAUAUGAGAGGGUGGCGGAAUUUCCGGUGUAGCGG